CCGUGCUAGACGGGGAGUUAGCGGUGCCCUGUAACCUGCAAUCCGCUACAGCAGGGUGUAAUCCCUAACCGAGGCUUGAUCUUUCAGGGUCUGACCCUUAAAAGUGACGUUGAUAAGUGGAUCCCACGCAAUGGAUGUCUAUGAACCUCGUCAGGACCGGAAGGUAGCAGCGAUAAAUAGAAUUAUUCGUGUGCCGUGGCAAAUCUGCUUUGAGUUUACUGUUCGGGUAACGCUUGAACGGUUACUGUCAGAGUUGGGUGCACGG
Molecule: non-coding RNA, 265 nt
Organism: Proteiniclasticum ruminis
Lineage: Bacteria; Bacillati; Bacillota; Clostridia; Eubacteriales; Clostridiaceae
Rfam family: Bacterial large signal recognition particle RNA
About the family: The signal recognition particle (SRP) is a universally conserved ribonucleoprotein involved in the co-translational targeting of proteins to membranes. Archaeal SRP consists of a 7S RNA and homologues of the eukaryotic SRP19 and SRP54 proteins.
Source: Rfam